This 234-nucleotide long non-coding RNA is filed under the name Eucalyptus grandis. RNAcentral describes it as "long non-coding RNA (EGRA_LNC005663)". Lineage: Eukaryota; Viridiplantae; Streptophyta; Magnoliopsida; Myrtales; Myrtaceae. The record is from RNAcentral.
GUGUUUUGUUCACGGGAGGAGCUAGGACCACUAGUUAGGCCAUACGUAGCAGCAACCCGUCGGAGUCUGCUCAGUGACUUAUGAUUCUGCUCCACUUCUUCUUGAUAACUGUAAGUUCUCUAGUCAAUCAAUUGCUAAUGAAGUAUGGAUUCAAAUUUUUGUUGGUGUAACAUGGCGAUUUCAUAUCAUGAUUAUCAUUAAGAGGAACUAUUAUUUUUAAGAAUAGUAAAUCGA